CUUCUAUUGUGAUUAAUAUAGCCUUAGCUUUUGCGCCAAUUCAAUUAAAUUUGCCAUUGCACAUAGCUGAAGUGAUUUUCUUGGGAGCCUUCAAAAAGUCUGUUCGGAUUGUCACAUAGCAAGGAUUUUGCUGCCAAACCAGUCGAGUGUAUGUGCGAAACGCAACAACAAGUAACAAAAACAGAGUCAUAUCAAAUAAUGCACAUUUCCGCUUCCGCUGCGAGAAAGUAGGACGUCGAAAAGCAGCAAGGAUAUGCCUUUGUCAUAAGUAGUGGCUCACUCAAUAUUGGCUCUGCCCACUUUUCGCCUUCUCGCAAGUGUUUCGAAAUAAACAACUACAGUGUAAA
Drosophila teissieri is the source of this 347-nucleotide long non-coding RNA. RefSeq lists it as uncharacterized. NCBI's taxonomy places the organism in Eukaryota, Metazoa, Arthropoda, Insecta, Diptera, Drosophilidae. The record is from RefSeq and is a predicted model, not a curated record. The transcript has 2 exons.